This 448-nucleotide ribosomal RNA is filed under the name uncultured bacterium. Its description in RNAcentral is "bacterial SSU rRNA". It matches the Rfam family "Bacterial small subunit ribosomal RNA", at positions 328 to 793 of the family's 1533-position model. The record is from RNAcentral.
UAGCCAGACUCCUACGGGAGGCAGCAGUGGGGAAUAUUGCACAAUGGGGGAAACCCUGAUGCAGCGACGCCGCGUGAGCGAUGAAGUAUUUCGGUAUGUAAAUCUCUAUCAGCAGGGAAGAAGAUGACGGUACCUGACUAAGAAGCCCCGGCUAACUACGUGCCAGCAGCCGCGGUAAUACGUAGGGGGCAAGCGUUAUCCGGAUUUACUGGGUGUAAAGGGAGCGUAGACGGCGAUGCAAGCCAGAUGUGAAAGCCCGGGGCUCAACCCCGGGACUGCAUUUGGAACUGUGUGGCUGGAGUGUCGGAGAGGCAGGCGGAAUUCCUAGUGUAGCGGUGAAAUGCGUAGAUAUUAGGAGGAACACCAGUGGCGAAGGCGGCUUACUGGACUGUAACUGACGUUGAGGCUCGAAGGCGUGGGGAGCAAACAGGAUUAGAUACCCUGGUAC